AUUUUUGUAUUUUUUGAAUAUCAAAAACUAUUUAAAAUGAAUUAAAAAUAAGCAGAAAAGAGAAAAAUAUUAAAAAAUAUCAAAUGAUAAAAUAAAAAAUAUUAAAAAUCAUUUUUAGAAACUAGAAAUUAAAAGAGAAAUAAUGCAAUUGGUCCCAUAAUUUUUGGACCAAUAAUAAAAGAGAUACAAAUUUUAGAAAUAAAAUGGAAUUAAAAAAAUAAAAGAAAAUAGAAAUCAGAAAAUGAAAAUUAGGAAAAAGGAGAGGCGUUGGAUGGUGGCUCAUUAAUUGAGCUGGCACAUCACAUGGCCCUCAACGCGUUUCCACAAUACAUCCAAGUCAA
RNAcentral lists this long non-coding RNA (341 nucleotides) under Lathyrus oleraceus (garden pea). RNAcentral describes it as "Pisum sativum (pea) long non-coding RNA (PSAT_LNC033455)". Lineage: Eukaryota; Viridiplantae; Streptophyta; Magnoliopsida; Fabales; Fabaceae. The record is from RNAcentral.